GAUGAAGAACGUAGUGAAAUGCGAUAAGUAAUGUGAAUUGCAGAAUUCAGUGAAUCAUCGAAUCUUUGAACGCACCUUGCGCCCUUUGGCUAUUCUGAAGGGCAUGCCUGUUUGAGUAUCAUGAACACCUCAACUCUCAUGGUUUGCCAUGAUGAGCUUGGACUUUGGGGGUCUUGCUGGCCUACGGUCGGCUCCUCUCAAAUGAAUCAGCUUGCCAGUGUUUGGUGGCAUCACGGGUGUGAUAACUAUCUACGCUUGUGGUUUCCCGCCAGGUAACCUUCAGUGAUGGAGGUUCGCUGGGGCUCAUAAAUGUCCCUCCACAGUGAGGACAGCUUUUGAACGUUUGAUCUCAAAUCAGGUAGGACUACCCGCUGAACUUAAGCAUAUCAAUAAGCGGAGGA
RNAcentral lists this unclassified non-coding RNA (401 nucleotides) under soil metagenome. RNAcentral's name for it is "partial contains 5.8S ribosomal RNA, internal transcribed spacer 2, and large subunit ribosomal RNA". The stretch from base 1 to 121 matches the Rfam family "5.8S ribosomal RNA", at positions 35 to 154 of the family's 154-position model. The record is from RNAcentral.